Molecule: ribosomal RNA, 91 nt
Filed under: uncultured bacterium
Lineage: Bacteria
Description: partial 16S ribosomal RNA
Rfam family: Bacterial small subunit ribosomal RNA
Source: RNAcentral
GCCGGAAAUGCCCGAAGCCAGUGACCCAACCUUAGGGAGGGAGCUGUCGAAGGUGGAGCCGGUAACUGGGGUGAAGUCGUAACAAGGUAUC